This 258-nucleotide unclassified non-coding RNA is filed under the name plant metagenome. RNAcentral's name for it is "partial contains small subunit ribosomal RNA, internal transcribed spacer 1, and 5.8S ribosomal RNA". The record is from RNAcentral.
UUUCCGUAGGUGAACCUGCGGAAGGAUCAUUACCGAAUUUAAUUCCGUUGUUGUAGCUGGCCAUUAUUUUGGCAUGUGCACGCCCUGGUAAUCCAAAUCAUUUAUACCUCUGUGCACUAUUAUGUGGGAUUGAUGUGGCUUUGGUGCUUGCCUCAAUGGCAUUAUCAUUCUCAUCUUUAUCAUACACUCUUUAGUAUAGAAUUUUAUUACGUUAGACGCAUCUUAAUACAACUUUCAGCAACGGAUCUCUUGGCUCUC